GUGAGCGGCAGACGGGUGAGUAACGCGUGGGAAUCUACCUAUAUCUACGGAAUAACACAGAGAAAUUUGUGCUAAUACCGUAUGUGUCCUGAGGGAGAAAGAUUAUAUCGGAUAUAGAUGAGCCCGCGUUGGAUUAGCUAGUUGGUAGGGUAAAGGCUUACCAAGGCGACGAUCCAUAGCUGGUCUGAGAGGAUGAUCAGCCACACUGGGACUGAGACACGGCCCAGACUCCUACGGGAGGCAGCAGUGGGGAAUAUUGGACAAUGGGGGCAACCCUGAUCCAGCCAUGCCGCGUGAGUGAAGAAGGCCUUAGGGUUGUAAAGCUCUUUCACCGGAGAAGAUAAUGACGGUAUCCGGAGAAGAAGCCCCGGCAAACUUCGUGCCAGCAGCCGCGGUAAUACGAAGGGGGCUAGCGUUGUUCGGAUUUACUGGGCGUAAAGAGCAUGUAGGCGGAUAUUUAAGUCAGAGGUGAAAUCCCAGGGCUCAACCCUGGAACUGCCUUUGAUACUGGAUGUCUUGAGGAU
RNAcentral lists this ribosomal RNA (524 nucleotides) under uncultured Bartonella sp. Its description in RNAcentral is "bacterial SSU rRNA". It matches the Rfam family "Bacterial small subunit ribosomal RNA", at positions 91 to 649 of the family's 1533-position model. Lineage: Bacteria; Pseudomonadati; Pseudomonadota; Alphaproteobacteria; Hyphomicrobiales; Bartonellaceae. The record is from RNAcentral.